UAGGGAAUCUUCGGCAAUGGACGAAAGUCUGACCGAGCAACGCCGCGUGAGUGAAGAAGGUUUUCGGAUCGUAAAACUCUGUUGUUAGAGAAGAACAAGGACGUUAGUAACUGAACGUCCCCUGACGGUAUCUAACCAGAAAGCCACGGCUAACUACGUGCCAGCAGCCGCGGUAAUACGUAGGUGGCAAGCGUUGUCCGGACUUAUUGGGCGUAAAGCGAGCGCAGGCGGUUUCUUAAGUCUGAUGUGAAAGCCCCCGGCUCAACCGGGGAGGGUCAUUGGAAACUGGGAGACUUGAGUGCAGAAGAGGAGAGUGGAAUUCCAUGUGUAGCGGUGAAAUGCGUAGAUAUAUGGAGGAACACCAGUGGCGAAGGCGGCUCUCUGGUCAGUAACUGACGCUGAGGCUCGAAAGCGUGGGGAGCAAACAGG
RNAcentral lists this ribosomal RNA (429 nucleotides) under Gemmatimonadota bacterium. Its description in RNAcentral is "Gemmatimonadetes bacterium partial 16S ribosomal RNA". It matches the Rfam family "Bacterial small subunit ribosomal RNA", at positions 355 to 776 of the family's 1533-position model. Lineage: Bacteria; Pseudomonadati; Gemmatimonadota. The record is from RNAcentral.